Small nucleolar RNA from Ornithorhynchus anatinus (platypus), 138 nucleotides. NCBI's taxonomy places the organism in Eukaryota, Metazoa, Chordata, Mammalia, Monotremata, Ornithorhynchidae. The record is from RefSeq and is a predicted model, not a curated record.
CCCCUCUCAGGAUCACACCUGGAGAGUUUCCAGUACUCUACCGGUCUCGGCUAUGGGAGGGCGAGUCAGACAGAAGCCUACGCAUUCCAUUCCUAGCUUGGGCAGUGGCUAGCGAGGGGAAGGCAAUCUGCUACAUGU